UUCAAUGUAAUGAAUAAUAUCAUUAAGAGAUUGCAAUCUGUUACUCAAUUCAGCCAUUUGAACCCUAAGAAUUUCAUUCUCAGAUUCAACUUUCAGGUACAUCUGAGUAGUUACACCUACGUUUGUGCUUAUUUGAUUAUUCUCUUUUUUCAAUUGUUCAAUUUGAUUGCUAAGAUCUUCCAUAUGUUGCUGUUUCUUCAUCCUUGAUCUUCUUGCCGAUUCUCGAUUCGAUUGCAUUCUCUUCCUUUUCUUUUGAUCUGUUAUAUUCACCUGCAGAUCCUCUGAUCCAGAUCCAGAGUUUUGAAGAGAGCUUGUUCCAGAUGAAUAUGUUCCACCAGGAGAAGCCAUAAUCAAGUAAGGUUUUAAACUGCGGUCGCGAUUCGCGAUCUUAGAUUUAAACUUUGAUGUCUAAUAAUAACUAUUUUUUUUUUCUAACUAGGUAGUUAAAAAUUAAAAUGAUUAGGUUGAUUUAAUUAAUGAAACUAAAUUUUGUAUUCGGAAAGAUAAAAAAGUGGUUAAUUAAUAAUUCAUGAGAAAAUAUAGAACCAGUAAAGGAAAACAACAGAGAAAGAUUGAACUAAAUGUGUCCUGCGUCUGAGUGUUGAGUUUAUCAUAGAGAUCUCAGAGAUUAGUGGAGACAUCUGUGUUGAUUUUCAAUCAUUCAUAACUAUAUGAACAAAGAAAUCAAAGUUGCUUUGUGAAGGGUUUAAGACUUAAUAAGAGCAAUAAAGGCUUAGAGGGUUUAAUUAAGGAACUUAAGGAUGGUUUAGGAGAUGUAUAUGAGAGGGUUAUGGUUGUAGUUAUGGAUGGACAGUAUGGUUAUAUAUGAAGAAAAUUGUUGAUCUAGAAUUCUAAAGGGGUGUCAAAGACUAUGGGCUAAAAGAUAGACUCUAAUAUGAUUCUUAAAGAAAGAAAAGAUGAUAAGAAAGAAUAUGAAAAUGGAAGAGAAGGGAUGAAUAUUGACCAAUUUUGAGGAAGAGAUGAUAAGAAGAGAAGGAAAGAGGUUUUGAAGGGAUUCAGUAGUUUGAAUAUAUAGAGAAAAAUAAUUGUGCCCAUUGGAAUUAUUGAAUUAAAAUAAUAUAAAUAAUUGGACAAUGGGUUGGUUUGGUCAUUGUUAUUUGUUAAUGGGGUGUACUGCAUAAUUAAAGCAAAAAAAUAUUAUAGUACAGAUGGAAAAAGACAUUAAAAAGUGGGGCUAAGGGACCUGCAUCCAAUAUUUCUCACUAAAUAAUUUAUAUUUUACAAUUUACUGCAAUGUUAAUAUUUUGACAGAAAAGUAUUUAUAUUUAGUAUUUGAUGGAUUUUAAAUAGGAUUAUCUUUGUGAUUGAACCAAACCAGCAAAUAAAUAAAAAAUUGAUUUUUUUUUUUUGUAAAAUAGUCGAUGGUUAGAAAUUUCACCUUAAAGAGAAUAAAUAAGAUGUUCGAGAUUCGAACUCCGAAUUCUUACAUAUAUAAUGCAAUGUUUCUAUCGACAGAGUUAAGCCACAGAGAUAAUGAAUUGAAUUUUUUUUAUAUGUGUUUCUUUAUAAAGAAUUUAGAAAUUAUUUUAUUUUUUUACAAAAUGUACAAAGCAUUUUUAAGAUUUUAUUUUAAUUUUUCAUAUAUAAAGCAUUGAAUAUGGUUGGAGUUGGAAUUUAAUACAAACUGUGACAAACCUGAACCCGUGAAUAUAGCAAGGAAGGGACUUGGAAAAUCAAUCAAACAAGACGACACUGGCCACACCAUUACUAGUACUACUGUUCAUGUGCAUGCGUACUUCUAAACAAAAGCAAUUACUAGUAUUUAUUGAAAGAAAAAAAUUUAAAUGAAUUUGUUGAAAAGUUAUUUGCUAAAAUGAUUUUUUGGACUAAAAGUUAAAUGAUAAAGUUUACUUUUUUCGACCAAGUUAUACACAAUAAAAAAUGUUAUAGAUAAAUUUUAAAGUGUGCUAUUUCAACGAGGUAAUUAAAUGGAAAAUAUUAACCGAUGUCUCUAGAGCACUAAUUAAGGAACACAAAUAUAAUAAAAAAAUACAUUGAAUUUUAUGUAGUCGAAGUUUUAAAAGUACAUAAAUGUCCUUUUUAAAACUCUUUCCAUUUCCUUUAAAUUGCCAAUUGAACUACUAAUGUGGAAAUAGGUCUAAAAAUUGUUAGUAAAAUAAAUAUUAUUAAAGAUUAUAAUUAAAUGAUGUGAAUGUGUAUAUUCAUUUUUUAAUAAGUAUUAUAGCAGUUAAUUUAACUCUUAAGAUGAAUAAAUAGAACGUACAAUAUUUAUACUCAUUUUUGUAAUAUAAUAUGAUGUUCAUAUCAACUAAUUUAAUCUCAUGAGACGCAAACUCAUUUAAGCACCUCAAAUGGGAGUAGGUUCAUUGUGAUACUUUUAUUGCAUUCAUUAGCAUAUGGCAAUCUUACCAAAUGACAACGUAGUAUGAUGUUGAUUUGCUACUUAUUUUGAUGUUGGACCACUUUUUAUUUGUAACUUUUAUUUAUCGAUAGAAUAUGCUCUUGGAAUCUUAGGUAAAGAAUGGUAGUUGCAGUUUUUUAUAAGAAAAAAUCAUUUCUCAUUUUUCUUACUCAUAGUAGAUACUAGAUCAUUUCUCAUUUUUCUUUAUUAUUAGUACAUACUUUUCUUUGUUUUAUACUUAAAUUAAAUACCCCAAUAUUGAUGAUCGUUGAGUGAGCUGCAAGCUUUUGACCUCUUUGUCUCUCACAAUAAAUUCAACUUAUAAUACCUAAAUUCCAACUUGUGAUUAAUGUUUUGUCGAAAAAAAUGAAGAAUUUGUACAAAAGAAAGAAUUCAUGUUCUCGUGAGCUUAACUCAGUUGGUAGGGAUAUCGCAUUAUAUAUGCAAGAGCCGAAAUUCGAAUGUCGGACAUUCACUUAUUGAUUUUUAAGGUGAAUUUUUUAGCCACUAAAUUACUACUAGACAACAAAAAAAAAAUCUUAUAUUAUGGGACUCGUUUUUUUUUUAUAAGCAAAAAUAUAUUAUAAGAAAUUACAAGGGUACUCAAACCGUUACAAGUUAUAUUAUGGGACUCUUAUUUCUUAAACUGUUUUUUUUUAAUAUAAAACGUACUUCUUUAACCUUGCCAUACCUCUACAUCUCUUUUUACCAUAAUAAGUUAGCAAAUAUUUUAUAAUUAAAAUAUAUAAGUUACUUUGAGUACAGUAAACGAAUAAUUUUCUGUAUAUCUAGCUACCUUUCUUUUGAGGUACAUUACAUAAAUAGUUUGAAGCCAAACUAUAGUAUAUCAGUACUCCCUCGUCUCAUUUAUAAUAUCAAGAGAACAUGAACAAUUAUCUUUUUUCAAUAAUACCUCCAUUUAAUUAAGUAGACUUUAAUUAUAAUAAUAAAUCUAUAAAUUACAAGAUGGGCGUAUUAUAAUAAAUCAACUAAUAAACUGUUUAAAGACAAUAGACAUCCAUAUGUUUGUCAUAUAAAUUUAACCCAGUUAGCAGAGAUAUUGCAUUAUAUAUAUAUAUAUAUAUAUAUAUAUAUAUAUAUAUAGGAAUCAGGGUUUAAAUCUCGGUCAUCCAACUUAUCCAUGAUAAAAGACAACCAAAUAUUCUCAUUUGUCGCGCUUCAUGAAUGAGAUCAAUUUUUUAUUUUUUUGAACAAAAUGAAUGAGAUCCAUUACCAACAAAUAUGAUGCCCAUAACCAUCGCUAAGCCGACAUUUGACCAACAAAAUAUAUCAAUAUUACACACUGUAUAGUAUAUAUUAAUAUUAAUACUACUAUAUAGUAGAUGAAUGAAUCUUAUCAUAUGCAAUAAGCACAUGGUUCCAGUUGUGGGUUGCUGAAAAAGAAAGAAAAAAAGUUCCCGACCAAAAUCCAGUGCGGUGGUCAUGUACAGCCUACAUAUUUGUUGCGGUUUUCUUUAAUUAGGCUAACAAUACUCCCUCUACUUUUUUAACCAAUAAUUUUAUUAUUUGAAAUUUAUAUUCCUCUCAUUAAAUUUAAGUGACCACUCACAUAAUUUAGUAAAAUGAUCCCAAUUUAAUUUUAAUUAAUAAAAAAAAAUUGUUGAAAAUAAUGGUAUUAUGUAAGCAUAAUAAAGACUUUGCACUCCAUAAAAAGUUAAGAACUUUGCAACAGAAUUUAAUAUUUUCACAUAUUAAACCAUGAAUUAAACUUAGUUUGUUGUGCUUAAAAGAAUAUUCUAUGAUCUCUCACACUCUACCAACUCAUUGAUAUUUUGUUUGUAGAAUUUAAAUAUUAUUUAUGUGACGAAAAAGUACAAGCCACCUAUGCAAAUCACUUUUUUUUAACCAACUUGAUUGAGUUGGGUCUCUCUCGUUUUCAUCUUUAUGCAGUCACUACGAAGCUUCAUAUGUUAACAACACACGUUCGUCAUGUUACAAAAUACGUAUAAACCUUCUUGCUUAAGUUAUUGCCACCGCCAGCGCCAGUCAAAUUUUAUACCACUUGUUAAUUAACAUAAAAGACUUUUGACUACUUCAGCUUCUUCCAAAUUCACCAAGCUAUAUAGCAAUACUUUUCACAUGCUAGAAUGAGUGAUAUAUUAUAUAUGUAGUAUUAAUUUGUAGUACUAACUUAAACGGCUGCUUCAGUUUCAUCUUUCAUUUCAUUUGACUAAUUGAUUAAUAAUAUCAUUCAUGAUUAGCAAGUCUUUGUGAUUUUAAUUAUGAUCCAUGCAUUGCUUCUUAUAAGUAACGAAAUUAGGAAAAAAAUUGUCAAAAAAAAAAAUUAACAUUUUCUAAUAGGUAAAAAAUUUACUCAGUUUCGUCUAAAAUUAGUAUCGUCUAACGUUCUUUACAUAAAUUUACUCUCAACGUCAAUUAUCUCUAAUCACAUCCACUUUCCUAGUUUACUUGAGCGUCGGAGAUUUUGCAUAUAUUAAUUAUCUCCAUCAAUAUACAACGAAACGAUGUUCGACCUUCCACGGAGCCGACUUCUGAUUAAUCCAGUUUGGAUGUUUUAGGACAUUUUUUUAAUUAAAACGACAAUAAUUUUAGAACAGAAACAAUACAAACUUAUUUUAUAGUCAAUUUAACUCUCACUAUCAUUAGUAAUAUUAGAUAUUAGGUUGCAAUUUCUGAGUUAUGAACUAAUUAAUGAAAUUUUGGAUUUACUUUAGCCAUACAUAAUUCGUGUAUGUGCUAUUUGCAAAAGCCAUGUUAGUUACUUAUCGCCAAGUUAUUUUGCCCAUAAAGAAACUUUAAACCCCUUAACAUUUACUAUUUUCUUUUGGCUCUGUUAAUCUUACGUUUCUGUAAUUAUCUCUAAGCAUCUUUUUACUAAUGGAAUACAAAUUGAAAAUAUAUGAUUGAAUCGGAGAAAUCGGUAAGUAGUAGACACAAAGGUAAUCUAAGAUGCACCCCUAGCUUUUAUAAAGUGAAUAUAGAUGACUCUUGGCCUUGUUGCUUUAAUAGUGGAGGUUUGUACAAUGUUGAAUCUCAUUAUGAACUUUUCUCUUCCGAAUCCUCCAUUUCUUUUAUACCCAAAAAUCUCAUUUUGCUCCUUGCGGUUUGAAAAAUUUUUGCCAAAAAACUUCGAUUUAUAUAAAUCAUUCGCUGAAUUACUUCGGUUUAUAUUCACCGAAGUCAUACUUUAUAUAACCGUCUCUGCUGUCACUUCUUAUUCUUCACAAAACGAGGAGAGAAAAUAGAAACUGAACCAUUCGCGAUUUUUGGAGCAUUUGAGGCUUGAAAUCAAGAUUGGAGCAUCAUCUAAGGGAUUCAACACGCACUGAAGCUCAAAUCUAAGGUAAACACCGUUUUUUAUUCCUUUCUUUUAGCUAUCAUAGGGCCUAUUUUCGUAGGUGUUCUGACAGGAAAGCCUUCAGUGAAUAGAAACCGAAGUUUGCCCAGAUGUGUUUUGGUAAUUGAGAACCGAAAUAUUGGGACUUUUAAUUUUCCUGCGCAGGCUUGUGCAUUUGGCUUGUUAUUGUCUUAUAAAUUGUUGUCCAAAUUGCAUAUUACUAUUAUAUGUGUUUAAUUAGUAUUCUACUAGGAUUUUAACUAUUAUAUAUGGUUGAUUGAUUUUUUUUUUUGCAUUUGCUUAUGUUGUAGUUAUGGAUGACGAAAUUGUCGAAGUUAAACCGAAGCGACCUGUUGUGCUAGGUCUUUUUGCAACGGGCAUUGUU
Molecule: long non-coding RNA, 6087 nt
Filed under: Trifolium pratense (red clover)
Lineage: Eukaryota; Viridiplantae; Streptophyta; Magnoliopsida; Fabales; Fabaceae
Description: long non-coding RNA (TPRA_LNC001236)
Source: RNAcentral